Molecule: long non-coding RNA, 795 nt
Filed under: Phaseolus vulgaris (common bean)
Lineage: Eukaryota; Viridiplantae; Streptophyta; Magnoliopsida; Fabales; Fabaceae
Description: long non-coding RNA (PVUL_LNC002871)
Source: RNAcentral
UGAUCCUUGAAUGAAUGUUAAAAGGUAAUCAUACAACCUAACCAAUAUAAAAAAGACACCUAUGACAAUAGUUAUUGUAUCACCAUUGUAUAUCACUUUCAACCACCAUUGUUAUAACUAUAACAUCACUCAAAUAUUGACUAAAAUUUUAAACAAAAAAGAAAAAAAUGAACACAAACAUGAUUCUACAAGAAACUGUUCACACGUUUAAGGACAAUUUUUGUGGACAUACAAUGCAAAUUCUAAACUGUUUUAAUUUUUUUUUAAUGACCAUGGUUUUGAAAGACAAAACAAAUUCUACACUACCUAAUAUAUAAAAGUUGAUCUUAAUUUAGAUAAAUUGCAGCUGAAAAUAGCUUUUGACUAAAUUUUAAGCCGAUUCUAGGAGAGGGUUUUACUUUCUAAUCAUGAAAAAUGAACAAUGGAAUGAUAAUAAUAUAUAGAAUAUGAUAAAAAGUUAAUAAAUGAAAAUGAAUGAAAAUGAUGAGAGAUAUUUAGAUAAAAAAAAAAGUUGAAGAGUGAAGGGUGGGGAAGACAUAGUUGUCAAUAUCGAAGAAAAGGAAGCAAGGUGUGUGAGGGUGAGGGUUGUAAGUGUGUGGUAUGUUUUGUGGUUUGUUUAGGGUCCAUGCAUAAUUGGUGAGGUGCGUCACGUCAGAUUCAGAAACCUCCAGCACCCACAAUGCGUACUAAACUCCACAACCUAUCUACACCCAUAAUUCGACACAUACCAAUAGGGAAUAGUGUACAUUAACCACUUUCUUUCUCUUAAUUUUAUAAAUCAACCCUAAAUUUAUG